AUUGAACGCUGGCGGCAGGCCUAACACAUGCAAGUCGAGCGCGAAAGUUCUUCGGAAUGAGUAAAGCGGCGGACGGGUGAGUAAUACAUGGGAAUCUGCCUGGUAGUGGGGGACAACGUUUCGAAAGGAACGCUAAUACCGCAUAUGCCCUACGGGGGAAAGGGGGGGAUCUUCGGACCUCUCGCUAUCAGAUGAGCCCA
Molecule: ribosomal RNA, 200 nt
Filed under: uncultured bacterium
Lineage: Bacteria
Description: partial 16S ribosomal RNA
Rfam family: Bacterial small subunit ribosomal RNA
Source: RNAcentral